This 467-nucleotide ribosomal RNA is filed under the name Aegla uruguayana. RNAcentral describes it as "partial 16S large subunit ribosomal RNA". It matches the Rfam family "Bacterial large subunit ribosomal RNA", at positions 1932 to 2601 of the family's 2925-position model. Lineage: Eukaryota; Metazoa; Arthropoda; Malacostraca; Decapoda; Aeglidae. The record is from RNAcentral.
CGCGGUAUUUUGACUGUGCGAAGGUAGCAUAAUCAUUUGUCUUUUAAUUGAAGACUUGUAUGAAUGGUUGAACGAGAAAAUAACUGUCUCUUUAAAAAAUCUUGAAUUUUACUUUUAAGUGAAAAGGCUUAAAUAAUUUUAAGGGACGAUAAGACCCUAUAAAUCUUUAUAUUAUUUUUCUUUAAAUUUCAAAUUAUAUGUUAAAAGAAAUAAAAGAAAAAAAUAUUAUAUUGGGGAGAUAAAAAUAUAAUUUUUAACUGUUUUAAAAAUAAAACAAUAAUUUUUGAUUAAAAAAAAAUUGAUCCUUUUUAAAGAUUUAAAGAUUAAGUUACUUUAGGGAUAACAGCGUAAUUUUUUUUGAGAGUUCUUAUCGAAAUAAAAGUUUGCGACCUCGAUGUUGAAUUAAAAUAUCCUUAUAAGUGCAGAAGCUAUAAAGGAAAGUCUGUUCGACUUUUAAAAUUUUACAU